RNAcentral lists this non-coding RNA (184 nucleotides) under Caldisalinibacter kiritimatiensis. RNAcentral describes it as "Lysine sequence". It matches the Rfam family "Lysine riboswitch aptamer". From Rfam's summary of the family: Riboswitches are metabolite binding domains within certain messenger RNAs that serve as precision sensors for their corresponding targets. The record is from Rfam by way of RNAcentral. Lineage: Bacteria; Bacillati; Bacillota; Tissierellia; Tissierellales; Thermohalobacteraceae.
GGGUGAGGUAGAGGCGCGGUAUCUAUCAGUAACUAUAUGGAGGCCGGAAACCAUUGAAGUAUAGUGAAAGGAGCUGCCGCCGAAGUCUCAAGUAUCCAAAACUUGAGGCUGGGCCUGCAUCGAAUAGGUGUAGGACUGUCAUCAGGGUAAUUGCCCGUUAUUCUGAUGGAGCGCUAUCUCACAC